This 549-nucleotide ribosomal RNA is filed under the name Allocotocerus sp. 2 MTM-2009. RNAcentral describes it as "eukaryotic LSU rRNA". It matches the Rfam family "Eukaryotic large subunit ribosomal RNA", at positions 716 to 1225 of the family's 3401-position model. The record is from RNAcentral. Lineage: Eukaryota; Metazoa; Arthropoda; Insecta; Coleoptera; Hydrophilidae.
AAUGAAAGUGAAGGCUCGCCUCGCGCGUGCCGAGGGAGGAUGGGCGGCGUCACGAUGCCGCCUCGCACUCCCGGGGCGUCUCGUUCUCAUUGCGAGAAGAGGCGCACCCAGAGCGUACACGCUGGGACCCGAAAGAUGGUGAACUAUGCCUGGUCAGGACGAAGUCAGGGGAAACCCUGAUGGAGGUCCGUAGCGAUUCUGACGUGCAAAUCGAUCGUCGGAACUGGGUAUAGGGGCGAAAGACUAAUCGAACCAUCUAGUAGCUGGUUCCCUCCGAAGUUUCCCUCAGGAUAGCUGGCGCUCGCUUUGCGAGUCUCAUCCGGUAAAGCGAAUGAUUAGAGGCAUUGGGGUCGAAACGGCCUCAACCUAUUCUCAAACUUUAAAUGGGUGAGAUCUCCGGCUUGCUCGAACUUGAAGCCGCGAGAUUUUACACAAGGAUCAGGGUGCCAAGUGGGCCACUUUUGGUAAGCAGAACUGGCGCUGUGGGAUGAACCAAACGCCGAGUUAAAGCGCCUAAAUCGACGCUUAUGGGAUACCAUGAAAGGCGUU